CCCUUAGAUGUUCUGGGCUGCACGCGCGCUACACUGAUGCGUUCAACGAGUUUAUGACCUUGCCCGAUAGGGUUGGGUAAUCUUUUUAAAUCGCAUCGUGAUGGGGAUAGAUUAUUGCAAUUAUUAAUCUUCAACGAGGAAUUCCUAGUAAGCGCGAGUCAUCAGCUCGUGCUGAUUACGUCCCUGCCCUUUGUACACACCGCCCGUCGCUCCUACCGGUUGAGUGAUCCGGUGAAUAAUUCGGACUGCAGCAGUGUUCAGUUCCUGAACGUUGCAGCGGAAAGUUUAGUGAACCUUAUCACUUAGAGGAAGGAGAAGUCGUAACA
This 326-nucleotide ribosomal RNA is filed under the name uncultured eukaryote. RNAcentral describes it as "partial 18S ribosomal RNA". It matches the Rfam family "Eukaryotic small subunit ribosomal RNA", at positions 1470 to 1796 of the family's 1831-position model. The record is from RNAcentral.